UACGUAGGUGGCAAGCGUUAUCCGGAAUUACUGGGCGUAAAGCGCACGCAGGCGGUCUUUUAAGUUUGACGUGAAAGCUCCCGGCUUAACUGGGAGAGGUCGUUGAAUACUGGAAGACUUGAGGAAAUGAGAGGGGUGUAGAAUUCCCGGUGUAGUGGUGGAAUGCGUAGAUAUCGGGGGGAAUACCAGUGGCGAAAGCGGCACCCUAGCAUUUUUCUGACGCUCAUGUGCGAAAGCGUGGGGAGCGAACGGG
Molecule: ribosomal RNA, 253 nt
Filed under: uncultured bacterium
Lineage: Bacteria
Also listed under: 1 other name
Description: partial 16S ribosomal RNA
Rfam family: Bacterial small subunit ribosomal RNA
Source: RNAcentral